This 396-nucleotide ribosomal RNA is filed under the name Triticum aestivum (bread wheat). RNAcentral describes it as "partial small subunit ribosomal RNA". The record is from RNAcentral. Lineage: Eukaryota; Viridiplantae; Streptophyta; Magnoliopsida; Poales; Poaceae.
AUGAUGUUCAAUAUUCAAAUAGCAGAGAUUUGCGAAGAAGUAUUGCGCUAUUUACCAGUGAGUGGUAUUAUUGGACUGAUCUUUUGGUGGGAAAUGUUCUUCAUUUUAGAUAACGAAGCCAUUCCAUUACUACCAACCCACAAAAAUACGACCUCUUUGAGAUAUACGGUUUAUGCCAGAAAGGUAUGAAGUUGGACUAAUUUGGAAACAUUGGGCAAUUUACUUUAUACCUACUAUUCCGUUUGGUUUUUGGUUUCCAGGCUGAUUUUAUUAGUUGCUAUGAUUGGGGCUAUAGUACUUACUAUGCAUAGGACUACCAAGGUGAAAAGACAGGAUGUAUUCCAAAGAAAUGCCUUGGAUUCUAGGAGGACGACAGACCAAAUCACGAUCCACUAA